AUGCACGAAGAUACAAGGCACACUAUCAAGCGCCAAGUACAACGACUAGCGUCCAAGCUCAACGUCCACAAGCAACCCAUGAUCUUCAAUAUUGGCGAUCUCGUGUGGCUACACCUUCGCAAGGACCGCUUCCCCAACGAACGCAAGUCCAAACUUCUACCUCGAGCCGAUGGACCCUUCAAGGUGCUAGCACGCUACAACAAUGCCUACAAGAUCGACCUCCCACGAGAUGAGUACAACGUGAGCGACAUCUUCAACGUCAAGGACCUCUCGCCAUACCAUGGUGAUGGCACUUUCGAUCCGAGGUCGGAUCUUUCCCAGGGGGGAGAUGAUGCGGAGCAUCCCUCGCUCAUCCCCAUGGACGUACCUACAUCUCCCUCGACACCACUUGGACCCAUGACAAGAGCUCGAGCAAAGGCUAUCGAAGAUAAGGUGAACUCGCUCCUCUCUGAACUUCCUCUUUCUACUCACGAGACAUGGCUACUACCUCAUGCGGAAACUCUGUGUGUGAUCAGGUGCUUGGAGGAGAGCCACGGAACAGCUACAUGCAAUGGCCAAGGCGGCGAGGACACCAAGCGUGAAGAUCAAGAAGAAGAGUUGCUUUGGAAGCUAUAG
RNAcentral lists this ribosomal RNA (615 nucleotides) under Triticum aestivum (bread wheat). Its description in RNAcentral is "partial small subunit ribosomal RNA". Lineage: Eukaryota; Viridiplantae; Streptophyta; Magnoliopsida; Poales; Poaceae. The record is from RNAcentral.